UUGCGCCCUUUGGCUAUUCCGAAGGGCAUGCCUGUUUGAGUAUCAUGAACACCUCAACUCUCAUGGCUCGCCAUGAUGAGCUUGGACUUUGGGGGUCUUGCUGGCCUACGGUCGGCUCCUCCCAAACGAAUCAGCUUGCCAGUGUUUGGUGGCAUCGCAGGUGUGAUAACUAUCUACGCUUGUGGUUCCCCACCAGGUAACCUUCAGCAAUGGAGGUUCGCUGGGGCUCAUAAACGUCUCUCCUCAGCGAGGACAGUUUUUGAACGUUUGAUCUCAAAUCAGGUAGGACUACCCGCUGAACUUAAGCAUAUCAAUAAGCGGAGGAAAAGAAACUAACAAGGAUUCCCCUAGUAACUGCGAGUGAAGCGGGAAGAGCUCAAAUUUAAAAUCUGGCGUGCCUCUGGUCGUCCGAGUUA
Molecule: unclassified non-coding RNA, 416 nt
Filed under: uncultured Thelephoraceae
Lineage: Eukaryota; Fungi; Basidiomycota; Agaricomycetes; Thelephorales; Thelephoraceae
Description: sequence contains ITS1, 5.8S rRNA gene, ITS2
Rfam family: Eukaryotic large subunit ribosomal RNA (bases 269-416)
Source: RNAcentral